AUUGAACGCUGGCGGCAUGCCUUACACAUGCAAGUCGAACGGCAGCAUAGAAGAGCUUGCUCUUCUGAUGGCGAGUGGCGAACGGGUGAGUAAAGCAUCGGAACGUACCGUGUAGUGGGGGAUAACGUAGCGAAAGUUACGCUAAUACCGCAUACGCACUGAGGUGGAAAGCAGGGGAUCGCAAGACCUUGCGCUAUACGAGCGGCCGAUGUCAGAUUAGCUAGUUGGUAGGGUAAAGGCCUACCAAGGCGACGAUCUGUAGCGGGUCUGAGAGGAUGAUCCGCCACACUGGGACUGAGACACGGCCCAGACUCCUACGGGAGGCAGCAGUGGGGAAUUUUGGACAAUGGGGGAAACCCUGAUCCAGCCAUGCCGCGUGAGUGAAGAAGGCCUUCGGGUUGUAAAGCUCUUUCGGCUGGGAAGAAAUCGCACAGGCUAAUACUCUGUGUGGAUGACGGUACCAGCAUAAGAAGCACCGGCUAACUACGUGCCAGCCGCCGCCGUAA
RNAcentral lists this ribosomal RNA (506 nucleotides) under uncultured bacterium. RNAcentral describes it as "partial 16S ribosomal RNA". It matches the Rfam family "Bacterial small subunit ribosomal RNA", at positions 30 to 523 of the family's 1533-position model. The record is from RNAcentral.